This is a long non-coding RNA of Felis catus (domestic cat), 2242 nucleotides long. RefSeq lists it as uncharacterized. NCBI's taxonomy places the organism in Eukaryota, Metazoa, Chordata, Mammalia, Carnivora, Felidae. The record is from RefSeq and is a predicted model, not a curated record. The transcript has 3 exons.
AGCAAUAUCUGCAGACAUCAGCCCCAUGGCCCUGUGACCAGCUCCAGGCCCCAUGGGACAGUGUAUCUGGAGUUGCUAGCCAUUUUCUGCUCAGAUAUGGGGCGGCCCAGGGCCUGGGCCCGUCCAGCUUGUGGUUAAAGGACCCAGCAGAGGAUGAGACAUUUACCUCCUCCCUGCUCAGAGAGCAGCGUGUUUCCAGGAGGUGAUUCUGCUCUGCUCUUUCCUGCCUUGUCAUGGGCAGUGGCGACCUGGUACAUGACAAGAAGGGGAUGUGGCUGCUUGCGAGUCAGACUUUGUGAUGCCAGUGGACUUGGAGACGGGAAUCAAUGCACACAGUUGGCCUACACUGCUUGGGGGAGUCUGGCCAGCUCCAGGACACCAUGGCCUCAAGUGACCGGCAUAACAGACAUCUGCUCUGAGGGCACCUCUCGUCUUUGCUACCAGAGAACCGCUGGAAGCAUCUUUUAACACCCAGCAGAGUGCCUGGCACAUAGGAGAUGAAGUUCCCUGGAUGAAUGAACAAGCGGUUGUGUCUCUGAGGCCCCGAAAAGGCAAUUACAACAGUCAACGGUAUGUAUCUGUAGUUUGUGUUACUUACUUGUAAAUAAAAUCAGGUCCGGGUGUGACUGAAGGCUGCAUCUGGGGAGCGCAAUGCCAAACCCAGCCAGCGUGAGUGAACGGAAUCUCAGCCUGCCUGCCCUCCAGCCAUUUCCCACUUGGUCCCGUGCUACUGGUGAACAUGUACUUGAAAAAAAUCAUACAUACAUCUUCUCUAAGAACAAACGCUAAUUUUGAGGGGGCAUACCAGGCCAAGACAAUAUUGAGGGGAAAAAAAGUAUUUGUCGUCUUCUCAGGGUCAUGGUUCCACUAUAGAUACAGUUAGUUUAGGUAACUAUUAUUCUCUCUGUCUUCAAGCAAAUAGCCUUUUCCUGUAUGUCUAAGAAGCUGACAGGACAAUUAAAGUCAUUUAUCUCAAGACACAGAAAGUUCAAAGGCGAACCGAUUAUCCCAGGACAUUUCUAGCUACUUCUAAAUAACAUUUUUUCCACCUUAAAAAAAAAAAUUAGUGGGUGCCCUGUUUAUAGGACAAAAUAAAAACUCAUUUUCCAACAUUGACAUGCAAAGUGAUUAAUACCUUUACAUAUCAAAAUUAUUAUACCUUUAUAUACAAAACACAGGUUCUUAAUCUUUCCUCUCUUAUUUUACUUAUUUAUAGAUUUGUUCCAGGAAUAAUUUAAGACAGAUGACAACACAUAAAAUACAGCAAAAUAACACAAAUUUAUAAAUAAAUUAAAAAUGCAAAGGCAAAAGAGGAUAGGGACCAAAAAUAGACUCAGAAAUGAGGCCAAUUAAAAAAUGCCUUGUGUAAGGACUGAUACACUUCCAGGCAGUGCUGCUGUUGUCUAUACAACAGUCCUCCUGCCCUUCUUCCUUCUACAGAGCCCUGACUCUGUUGUGGUAACAAGGGUCCUGUUCUCAGUCCUAGAAGAUGAAUUAUGAUUGACCUAAGAGAGUCAUGGAUCCCUUGCUGGACCGUUAGAAAAGAAUCUCCUUAUUGUCUGAGACGCCUUUAGUGAAAUCUCUUACUUGUGGCUAGGAGCUUUCUCACUGAGGCACGUGCUAUUGUAUUUCGUUUGUCUCUAAGCUUUCUAGCAGUCCACUCUAAGAGGGACAUUUGGUUAGAAAUAACUCAGUAUCCAUAAAACAAACAAAAAGAAACCCAGGCCUGUACCUAAGGAAAGGCGCAAUAUUGCUAAGACUAAGACAAAAUAAAAUAAAGGUCUAAUAGGAUCCACAUAUUCACCCAGUGUGUUUAAAAUCCCACAUGAAAACAACAAUGUAAUAAAGAUACUGUAAUCAGCAAUCCAAGCCAAAUUGGCUUUCUCUUUUGACAUAAUUUAUUAUUCACCUUGAAGUUUCAUUUUCUCCAUGCUCCUUGAGUUAAAAUAUUAUUCUUUGAGCCAAAUGAAAGUGCAUUUCACAAAUUAAUUUGGACAAUGGGUGCAGAAAAGUUGUUCUUAGCAAUCUAACCUUUGGCUUGUGAAUACAGAGCCCUAAGUCUAUGAGUUGGCAGGCAAGUGGGGUGGGUAGGAAAAAGGUCUAGAUGGUUCCCAUGUAUUUUUUUUUUUCUUUAGAAAGAAUACGUUGUAUCUUACUCUGUGUAAUUCUUCAGAAAAAGUGCAGGCGUUCAACACGACAGGGAAAGAUCAUAUCCUAAAAAGGAUUGUUUUCCCCUUUUAAC